This 757-nucleotide non-coding RNA is filed under the name Furcilarnaca wufengensis. RNAcentral describes it as "12S ribosomal RNA". The stretch from base 351 to 750 matches the Rfam family "Microsporidia small subunit ribosomal RNA", at positions 752 to 1303 of the family's 1311-position model. The record is from RNAcentral. Lineage: Eukaryota; Metazoa; Arthropoda; Insecta; Orthoptera; Gryllacrididae.
UUUAGGUUUUAUUCUUGCUUAAGAAUUUAUUUAAUCUAAGUUGUACAUGUAAAUUUUUGUGUUUUAUUGCUUUAAGAGUAGGGUGAUGCAGUAUUUAAUUUUAUAAAUUAAGGAGAUUUAGAUUUAGUUAUGGAUUGUUUUGUUGGUAAAAUUCGUGCCAGCUACCGCGGUUAUACGAUGGAUGAAAAUAAAUUUUAUUUGUUUGAAGUUAAUUGUAGUUGGUGAAGUAAUUAAUGAAUUAUUUGAAGGUGAAAUUUUUAUUUUAUAUUGUUUCUAAUUUUGAGGCUUUGAAAUUUGUUAAUAAACUAGGAUUAGAUACCCUAUUAUUUUAAAUGUAAAAGUAAAGGCGUGAGUAGUAAUAGAUAAGAUCUUGAAACUCAGAGAAUUUGGCGGUGUUUUAGUCUAUUCAGAGGAAUCUGUUCUAUAAUUGAUAAUUCACGAUUGGGUGUACUUAACUUAUAGGAUUUGUAUACCGCCGUCAUCAGAAUAUUUUUGUAGAAUAAUUUCUUAAUACUGGAAUAAGUAUAAUGUCAGGUCAAGGUGCAGUUAAUGGUUAAGGAGAAAUGGAUUACAAUAAAAUUAUUUAUAUGGAUUUGAAUGUUGAAUGAUUCAAUGAAGGUGGAUUUGAUAGUAAUUUUUGAUUAAAUUCAGUGAUGAUUUUGGCUCUAGAACAUGCACACAUCGCCCGUCGCUCUCUCUGACUCUGAGAGAUAAGUCGUAACAAAGUAGGUGUACUGGAAAGUGUAUCUAGAAUGUC